CGAACGCUGGCGGCGUGCCUAAUACAUGCAAGUCGAGCGGACAGAAGGGAGCUUGCUCCCGGAUGUUAGCGGCGGACGGGUGAGUAACACGUGGGUAACCUGCCUGUAAGACUGGGAUAACUCCGGGAAACCGGAGCUAAUACCGGAUAGUUCCUUGAACCGCAUGGUUCAAGGAUGAAAGACGGUUUCGGCUGUCACUUACAGAUGGACCCGCGGCGCAUUAGCUAGUUGGUGAGGUAACGGCUCACCAAGGCGACGAUGCGUAGCCGACCUGAGAGGGUGAUCGGCCACACUGGGACUGAGACACGGCCCAGACUCCUACGGGAGGCAGCAGUAGGGAAUCUUCCGCAAUGGACGAAAGUCUGACGGAGCAACGCCGCGUGAGUGAUGAAGGUUUUCGGAUCGUAAAGCUCUGUUGUUAGGGAAGAACAAGUGCAAGAGUAACUGCUUGCACCUUGACGGUACCUAACCAGAAAGCCACGGCUAACUACGUGCCAGCAGCCGCGGUAAUACGUAGGUGGCAAGCGUUGUCCGGAAUUAUUGGGCGUAAAGGGCUCGCAGGCGGUUUCUUAAGUCUGAUGUGAAAGCCCCCGGCUCAACCGGGGAGGGUCAUUGGAAACUGGGAAACUUGAGUGCAGAAGAGGAGAGUGGAAUUCCACGUGUAGCGGUGAAAUGCGUAGAGAUGUGGAGGAACACCAGUGGCGAAGGCGACUCUCUGGUCUGUAACUGACGCUGAGGAGCGAAAGCGUGGGGAGCGAACAGGAUUAGAUACCCUGGUAGUCCACGCCGUAAACGAUGAGUGCUAAGUGUUAGGGGGUUUCCGCCCCUUAGUGCUGCAGCUAACGCAUUAAGCACUCCGCCUGGGGAGUACGGUCGCAAGACUGAAACUCAAAGGAAUUGACGGGGGCCCGCACAAGCGGUGGAGCAUGUGGUUUAAUUCGAAGCAACGCGAAGAACCUUACCAGGUCUUGACAUCCUCUGACAACCCUAGAGAUAGGGCUUUCCCUUCGGGGACAGAGUGACAGGUGGUGCAUGGUUGUCGUCAGCUCGUGUCGUGAGAUGUUGGGUUAAGUCCCGCAACGAGCGCAACCCUUGAUCUUAGUUGCCAGCAUUCAGUUGGGCACUCUAAGGUGACUGCCGGUGACAAACCGGAGGAAGGUGGGGAUGACGUCAAAUCAUCAUGCCCCUUAUGACCUGGGCUACACACGUGCUACAAUGGACAGAACAAAGGGCUGCGAGACCGCAAGGUUUAGCCAAUCCCACAAAUCUGUUCUCAGUUCGGAUCGCAGUCUGCAACUCGACUGCGUGAAGCUGGAAUCGCUAGUAAUCGCGGAUCACAUGCGCGGGGGGAAAAACCUUUCCCGGGCCUUGUACACACCGCCCGUCACACCACGAGAGUUUGCAACACCCGAAGUCGGUGAGGUAACCUUUAUGGAGCC
RNAcentral lists this ribosomal RNA (1439 nucleotides) under Bacillus stratosphericus. Its description in RNAcentral is "bacterial SSU rRNA". It matches the Rfam family "Bacterial small subunit ribosomal RNA". Lineage: Bacteria; Bacillati; Bacillota; Bacilli; Caryophanales; Bacillaceae. The record is from RNAcentral.